RNAcentral lists this RNase P RNA (337 nucleotides) under Acidimicrobiaceae bacterium. RNAcentral describes it as "RNase P RNA component class A". It matches the Rfam family "Bacterial RNase P class A". Rfam says of the family: Ribonuclease P (RNase P) is a ubiquitous endoribonuclease, found in archaea, bacteria and eukarya as well as chloroplasts and mitochondria. Lineage: Bacteria; Bacillati; Actinomycetota; Acidimicrobiia; Acidimicrobiales; Acidimicrobiaceae. The record is from RNAcentral.
CGAGUUGGCCGGGUGGCCGCGGGAGGCGCACUCCCGAGGAAGGUCGGGGCUCCAUAGGGCAGGGUGCUGGCCAACAGCCAGUCAGGGUGACUUGCAGGAAAGUGCCACAGAAAAAAGACAGCCACAUAUGGUGAUGGUGAAACGGUGCGGUAAGAGCGCACCAGCAUAAGGGGCGACUCUUAUGGCUAGGUAAACCCCACCCGGAGCAAGGCUAAAUGGAGUAAAGGUUGCCCGCCGUAUCAGAAAUGAUAAUACUCCAGGUAGGCUGCAUAGAUGGAUGGCCACACAGGUAGAUUUAUCUACUGGACAGAACCCCGCCUACAGGCCAACUCGACGC